GGCAGUUUGGCCGAGUGGUCUAAGGCGAUUGACUGUUCAUCAAUUCUCUUCGGAGGCGCAGGUUCGAAUCCUGCAGCUGUCG
This 82-nucleotide transfer RNA is filed under the name Penicillium paxilli ATCC 26601. RNAcentral's name for it is "tRNA-Asn (GTT) (tRNA-Asn-GTT-3-1)". It matches the Rfam family "tRNA". From Rfam's summary of the family: Transfer RNA (tRNA) molecules are approximately 80 nucleotides in length. The record is from RNAcentral. Lineage: Eukaryota; Fungi; Ascomycota; Eurotiomycetes; Eurotiales; Aspergillaceae.